UUUAUUGACAUCGAUAUUAUCCCGAUAUUUCCAUCGAUAUUUCUGUGUUUUCAGACUACCGAUAUUUCCGAUAUUACCGAUAUUUAAUACCUUGCUUACGAGUGAGAGAAGAAGCUUUAAUUUGGGUUCACAAUUUUUCCCUUUGUAGAUUGUCAAUGUAGGACCGAGUUUUCAAAAGGCACUUCAGGCUCUGGAAAUUUUUUUUUGUUAUGCUUUUGUUAUCAUGUUCUAAAUUGUGCAAACCAUUUAUUUAAUUAGAGAAAAUUAAGCACAAUCCUACUUAUAUACAUAUUAUUAAUUUAAGAAACAAUUUUGUUAGUCUUUUCUAAGAAAAAUGAUAUAAGAAACUGCAAUUAUAUGGGUUUCAUUCUUCACUGAUUUAUGGGUUUAUGCCUAAGUCAUAAUCUAUGUGUAUUAUGUGUUUUCAUUAAUACUUUCUCAGAAUGUGCCUUCAUUAUUGAUUUCUGUUUAGCUCUAGAAAAAUUGUACAAAAAGGAGUAGAAAUAUUUUUAGGCAUCUUUUAACAGCCAUUUUGUUUCCCAAAUAUAGAAAACCCACAAACGUGAAAUGGGUUUUAGGUUUUUUAUUCAAAUGUGUAUUCGUACUAUUUUUCUCUGCCUAAAAAAUUGAAAUAAAUAUGAUCUUUUCACGAUUGCUUCUUCUUCCAAGUUUUUUUUUCCACAUAAUAUAAAAUAUAUAUA
This 701-nucleotide long non-coding RNA is filed under the name Malus domestica (apple). Its description in RNAcentral is "long non-coding RNA (MDOM_LNC017887)". Lineage: Eukaryota; Viridiplantae; Streptophyta; Magnoliopsida; Rosales; Rosaceae. The record is from RNAcentral.